Molecule: long non-coding RNA, 481 nt
Organism: Panicum virgatum (switchgrass)
Lineage: Eukaryota; Viridiplantae; Streptophyta; Magnoliopsida; Poales; Poaceae
Exons: 2
Source: RefSeq, a predicted model, not a curated record
UGGCCGCGAUGCCCAGCGGCGCCGCGUAGCUCGCAAAACCAAAGGCUCGCAUCCGGCAUCUCCCCUCGAUCCUACCCUAAAAAAAAAUCUCCCCUCGAUCCACCCCGCCGGCCGGCGGCUCGCCACUCCGCUCCGCCUCCGAAGCCGCCGGCACCACUUCGUCUUCGUCUCCGCUCCAUCUCCGCCGACGCCGGCACCACCCCCACCAACCCAGCGGAGCGUCCACUCCAGCGGCGACUCGAGCACCGAAUCCGUCUCGAUUUGUUGCGGCUCAGCGCGCGCAAGAUCUAUUGGUAUCUGUGUAGGAGGCGUAUCCAUGGUGUCUCCGUCCGCUCGUGUGCCAUCGCAAAGAAUGGUUCCAGGCCUCCUUGCUGCUUCCCCUGGCCCUACUACUCCUACCUUCGUUGCAGCACCCAUCCCUUCCCAGGUCCCUGAACCCCAUCGUCAAGAACAGGGAGGAAUCUAGACAACAGGGAAAAAA